GGGGGUUGAGUGGUGGGAUCAGACCACCAGCUUAUUAACAGGGGGGGGUUGAGUGGUGGGAUCAGACCACCUGCUUAUUAACAGGGGGGGGUUGAGUGG
Oncorhynchus tshawytscha (Chinook salmon) is the source of this 99-nucleotide long non-coding RNA. RefSeq lists it as uncharacterized. The record is from RefSeq and is a predicted model, not a curated record. NCBI's taxonomy places the organism in Eukaryota, Metazoa, Chordata, Actinopteri, Salmoniformes, Salmonidae. The transcript is spliced from 3 exons.